UAUAUAUAUAUAUAUAUAUAUAAUUUGUCAUUAUUAAUGAUAGUUCCUCAGGACUUUUUGUUUGUAUCCUCCUAACAACAGUUUAAUAAAAAAAGUUCACAUGGAACUUCAGCAGUUCAGCAGAAGGACGUGCUUUAAAAAAAGUAAUUUUUUUAUGUAGGAAGGUAGGAACACAUAGUAACCUAUUUCAGUUAGAUCAUAUGAAACAAAACUUUGAUCAAUUAGUUAAUAUUUUCCGCAAUUAUAUCAUUAUGUUGCUAUAAUACAAUUGUACUUGUAAGUUUCUAACUUCUAAUAAAAAUUUACAAACCUGUUGACGUGAACAGGCAUGUUUUGAGUCUGCAGUUGCAGUUGAACAUCCACCCUUUAGGGGGCGCUGUCUCAAAAACAACAAGUGUAAAUGUGCGGUAUCCGGGUAGCCAUGCAGCCGUUUCGAACUGCUGCUUAUAUGGCUUCUUCGGAUAUAUUGCCAUAUAUAUAUGACCCUGAAUCUGAAGAUGAAACUGAAAAAACUCACUCUAAAAGUGAUUGUUCAAAACUCACCGUCAGACGUUUUCGAAAGUCGAAAAGAAUUUCUAUCGGAGGCGUUUUAAAAAGAUGGAGGGAGUUUCGUAAGCUACAAGGGAUCAAAACCGAUGAAGAGUUGGCAAAAUUCCUUUUGGACAGUCAACCUUCGAGUUGUAUUGUGCAUGGCUGUGGCAAAAAGUCAGAGCCUUAUGUGAGAACCCUGCAUCAGUUUCCAGAAGAUUUGGAGACCGUAAAAGUGUGGAAAGAGUUUGUGCAGAAGACCACCACAGAAUGGGAUGGUCAGGUCUCUCCGUGGAAGAAGAUCUGUAGUGAGCAUUUUGAGCCAAGCUGUUAUGCAAAUCACACAGCCUGGUUGAUGCGUUCCGUUCAGAAGUUGGAACUGAGAGAUGAGUUUCAAGUCCCAACAAUAUAUCCUACUGAGGAAACAUCUUCACAUGAUGCGGGAAGUUUGGAUCAACCACAGCAAGCUGCAGUUGGGGGGAUAGAGCCUACUCGGAUUCCAGAGUCUCCCAGUCAAAACACGAAAGUUGUAGAGGGAAAUGCGCAACAACCGACGACGCUUCAGCUGCCACCAGAGCUCCACCAAACACCCCUGUCUGUUCCAUCUUUCUGCGUAACCCCUUUGGUUCUAUAUACAGCACCAGCAACACCGUACCAAGUGCAGCCUGGCCUCACAGGAAGUGUGAAUGUUGUUGGAGAAAAGUCAUGGAAAAGCAAAGGCUGUCAAACAGAAAGUGUUACAUUUGCUGAUGGAAAUUGCCACAUCAUAAAACCACGUCUGCCAAAAGCCGAAACAGCAGAGGACACAUACUCCAGAGACAGUGAUGUUUGUGAUGAAGACGAAGAUGUCAGCAGGUACCACAAUAAAGAUGUGGAGGAUAAGCUAUUGUUGUAG
This 1423-nucleotide long non-coding RNA is filed under the name Nothobranchius furzeri (turquoise killifish). RNAcentral's name for it is "lncRNA (ENSNFUG00015009887.1)". The record is from RNAcentral. Lineage: Eukaryota; Metazoa; Chordata; Actinopteri; Cyprinodontiformes; Nothobranchiidae.